This 11633-nucleotide long non-coding RNA is filed under the name Marmota monax (woodchuck). Lineage: Eukaryota; Metazoa; Chordata; Mammalia; Rodentia; Sciuridae. The record is from RNAcentral.
GCCCAAGUUGACUCUUUUAAUUGCUGAGUGUUUUAGCCAGCAUUUUUUUCCUGCAGUGACCAAAAGACCUAAAAAGCAAUUUUAAAGGAGAUAAGUUUAUUUGUCGCUCAUGAUUUCAGAGGUAUCAGUCCACAGACAGCUGACUCCAUUUCUCUGGGCCUGAGGUGAGGCAGAACAUCAAGAUGGAAGAUUGUGGGAGAGGAAAUGGUCACCAGGAAGCAGAAAGAGGGAGUUCUCAUCUCAUCAAGGACAAAACAUAUACCCCAAAGGUACGCCUCAUUGACCCACCUCCUCUAGUCACACCCUACAUGCAUUGUCUCAUACCUAAUAUCUAGAUCAUAACGCUGAGCAAUAAUCCAUAAUAUAACAUGAUUUGUUGCUUUAUUUAUCCAUUUCUCUUUGAUGAAUGUAUUAGUUAGCUUUCAUCACUUGGACAAAAUAUCUGAGAAAAAUAACUUAGAAAAGAAAAAAUUCAUUUUGGUUCAUGGAUUUGGAGUUUUUGGUCCAUUGCUCUGAAAACAGAACAUCAUGGUAAGAAGGGUGGAAACAGAAGGCUGCUGAUCUCAUGGCAUUUAGGAUGCAGACAGAGAGAGGUAAGAAGGCACCAGGAACAAGAUAUAUACUUCAAGGACACCCUCUAGUUACUUACUUUCUCCAACUGGAUCCCAUCUCCUAUAAUUUCCACCACUUCCUAGUAAUGCCAAUAAUUAUGAAUCCAUGAAUGAAUGAAUCCACUGAUGAUGUCAGAACCCUCAUAAUCCAAGGAUUUCCCAAUAGCUCCACUUUUGAACACUGCUGCACUGGGAACAAAGCCUUCGAUACAUGAGCCUUUGGGGGCCUUUCCAGAUCCUAACCAUAACAUGGAACAUUUGUAUUACUUCCGUUUUUUUUUUUUUUGGUAUUACAAAUAGAGCUACUAUGAAAUACAUGUAUAAGUCUUUGAGUGGACAAAUGUUUUAAUUUAUCCUGGGUUUAAACAUUUAGAAAUGAAAUGUCUGGAUAAAUUAGUGGGCAUUAUGGUCUGUAUGUUUGUGCUUCACCAAAGAUUGAAAGUUAGUGACCAAUGGGAUGACCUUAGGAGGCGGGGCCAUUAGGAGGUAAUUAAGUCAUGGAGAACACCUAGCCCCUUCCACUACAUAUACCAUUUAUAAAUGAGAAAGCAGGCCAUCUUCUGAAAUUGACUCUCUCUCCUUGAUGGAGGACUUCCCAGCCUCCUAAACUGUUGUAUCUAAGCUACCCAGUUUAUGGUAUAUUGUUACAGCAGCCCAAAUGGAUGGUAGAUGUAUCUUUAACUGUCUAUUUUCCAAAGUGGCUGUACCAUUUUAUAUUAUCACUAGUAUGUUAGAGUCCUAAUUUUUCCAUAUCCUGGACAAAAAUUUGGUCAGUAUUUUUAAUUUUACCAAUUCUAAUAUAUUGUACAGUGUUAUCUCACUAUGGUUUUAAUUUGGUUAGUUAAUUUUUUAAAAAUUUCUUACAACUUUAAGAAAUGCUAUUUGAUAUUUGCCAUUCUAGAUUUAGAUUGAGGCAACUGUUACAUCUUUGCAAAGAAAUAAUUGUAGGUGAAAGUUGGCACUUUACCACAGAGGAAGGUAUACAAAGUUCACUUCUCUAAUUUUUACACAGCCUUAGGUUCUUAGUUCAGAGGAAGGUAUACAAAGUUCACUUCUCUAAUUUUUACACAGCCUUAGUGCCCCAUAUAACUCUUAGGUUAUUCAGGCCCCUUCAUGGAUAUACUGACUAACCCCCAAGGUAUGUCUGUUUUUUGCACCAUUUGUUCUGGCAUAACUAUCCCCCAAAUAUACCUUUUAAUACCAACUGUUAAGAGAUUUUCUGGCUCCCAGGAAUAGGGUUCUCAACAAAAUGUGACUUAUAGAAAAAAAUGCUGCUUAUUUUACAUAACAAGAAGUCUGGAAGAAAGCAGCUCUUGAACUAGUUACUCAGUGGUUCACUAAUGCUCCAAGAUUGCACACCCCAUCUUUCCAGUUAGCUAGUUUCAGUGGUUUGGGUUUUGUUGCCUUCCUUGUCCCCUAGUGUCCAUGCUGGCUACUGAAGCAGCAGGGAUUCAAGCCUCAAGUAACUUCAUCCAAAGUUAGGAAUAUACAGUUUCUCUUGGCAUUUUUUUUUUUUAAAUUAGGGACCCAGAAACCAGCUUACUUGACUUCCUAUCAAGACUUAUUGGCUAGAACUGAGUCAUCUGCCCACCAUUAAACCAGUUAUUCAAAGAAGAAUUUGAUUAGACUAAUCAUGAUUCAUCUCCUGCAGCUGAGUCCACUACUCUGAGUACUGUGCUGCCAAUAUAUGAAUAAAAUUGGGGUGCAAUAAAAAGGAAUAGGAGUAGGGAGGUGGAUGUUGAGAAUUCAGCAGUGUCUAACAUCAUAGCAGUCUUAUAUACUUUAUAAUCCAAAUCAGCACUUAAACUAGAAAAGAAAUUCAGUGAAUUUAAUAGCUUUAAAGAAAUUCAAUGAAUUUAAUGAGUGAAUUUAAUAGCUUUCAUAUUUUUGUAAAUGUGGUAUUUCCAUGCAUUUAUUCUGAUUAUUUUUUAACACAUAAAUACAUACUUGAGAUUUUACUUUGAUGUCCAGAAUCUACAGGACAUUUUACUACUGAGCAAUGAUUAUCAACUCAAUAUCCCUUUAUGUACCUUGAAUUUUUCUUCACCUACAUGCACUGAUCAUGCUGGCUAUAGCUUUCAUUUCUUUAGUUUUGCAGUUAAGCAUAUAGUUAUUCAGAGCUUACACAGAGCUGCAUUUGUUAUACUUCUAUCCCUGAGGCUAUAUCUACUUAAAUGGAUCUGGCUUGCAUUUUAUUAUUAAAAUAUUAAUUUUUGAUUGUGUAGUCUAGGUUUUUCUCCCUAAUGUAACAUAGUUUUUAGGGAAUGUUCUAAAUUACUAUUGAAAUCCUGUAUUUAUAUGGACUAUUUUAGGAUGAGAAAAGAUUGAUAAAUAUAAAUACUAAGCUUAAAAAUGUAUCAUAGUUAAUCUCUAGCUGGUAUGUUUACUAGGAGUCAUAAAUAUUGUGCUAAUGAGUCAAGGUACCAUGACAUUGAAAAGGAGCAUGAAGAGUAAAAACCAGGAGGUAAUUUGUUUUUACCACAUUCUACAGUCCAAAAACAUAUAUACCAGUAUUUACCUUAAAGAUUUUAUUAAUUACAUCAAUUUCAAAUUUACCUAUCUAGGAAGGGGGAAAAGAAAAGUACUAUUCGGGGAAAUUUUGAUAAAAUAAGUAAGAACAAUGGGCAUAUAAAAUAGCUAUGUUUUUCUCUAAAUACCAGAAAUAAUUUCUAUAAGGUUGAAAAGAUAAAUAGCAAUUGUAUAGUUUAAUUUUAAGAAGAAAUUACGAUAAGUUUAAAGUUAUAUGAAAGAUAAAAUAAGGCUUAUUAGGUUUUUUUCUCCCCAUUUAUACUAUAUGUCUAUCUCUGAUCUCUUGGUCUGUUUCCUCUAUGGAUAUUCCUUUGAUUUUAGUGAGACCUGACCCCACCUUCCUUUGCCUUUUCCCUCUCUAGCUUCAACAUAUGAGAGAAACAUACUUCCCUUAACCUUUUGAACCUGACUUAUUUCACUUAACAUAAUAAUUCCUCUAUUUCUAUCCAUUCUCCUGCAAAUGACAUAAUUUCAUUUUUAUUUAUGGCUAUAUAUAUAUACACACACACACACACACACCACACACACACACAUAUAUAUAUAGUAUAUAUAAAUUACACACACACACACGCACACACAUUUUAUUUAUCCAUUCAUCUGUUGAUGGACACCUAGGCUGGUUCCAUAGUUCUGAUAUUGUGAAUUGUGCUGCUACAAACAUAGGUGGGUGUGAAUCACUAUAGUACAAUGACUUUUGAUUCUUUAGGGGAAAUACUGAAGAGUGAUAGAGCUGGGUCAUACGAUGUUUCCAUGCCUAGUGUUUUGAGGAAUCUGCACACUGACUUCCUUAGUGGUUGUACUGAUUUACAAUCCCACCAACAGUGUAAAAGUGUUCCUUUUUCUCCACAUCCUCUACAGUGUUUAUUAUUGUUCAUAUUCUUGAUGACUAUAUUUCUUAAGAUAACGAAUAUUGGGUUACAUUAACAGAAUAUGGUUAUCAAUGUCAGGAAAUUUAACAUGGACACAACACUUUAUCAUAUUUAUAAUUUUGUCAAUUGACCAAGUAAUAUUCCUUAUAACAUUUUCUCUUCCAGGUAAGGAUUAUAUAUCACAUUUAGUUGUCAUGUCUCUUUAGUCUCCUUUAAUCGGGAAUAUUUCCUUGGCUCUUCUUAGACUUUUGUGACUUUGGCACUAUGAAAUAUAUUAGUCCUUUGAGAAAAAGAACACUCCUCAUUUUUGGAUAGUCUGCUGUUUCCUUAUGAUUAGAUUCAAGUUAACCAUUCCUGGUUUGAACAUUGCAUAUCAUAUUCUUCUGAAGGCAUCACUUUUGGAAGCACACAGCCAACCUGCCCCUCAUGACUGAUAUUAAUUUUGAACACUGGGUCAAAGUAUAUUGUUCAAUGUGUCUACUGUGUAGUUGCUAUUUUCCCCUUUCAAUCUUCACUUUUAUGGUUGAAAACUUUUGACUUUCUUAUUCCAAUUAUCUCUUCACCUUUAUCAAUCAGAAAACUUACUAUAAUGCAAAACUCCUCUCCUUUCUCCUUUCUCCCUCCCUCCCUCCCUCCCUCCCUUCCUUCCUUCCUUCCUUCCUUCCUUCCGUCCUACCUUCCGUCCUUCCUUCUAUCCUUCUCUUCCUUUCCCUAUUAUCAAGAUUGAUUCAUCGAAUCUUAUCAUCCCAAAUUUUCAAUUCUUAUUUUUCAGUAACUGUCUUUAAUUCAGUGCUCAAAUUAACCUAGAUUUGGCCAGUGGGAAUCCCUUCACACUGCCUCUUUUGUUGUUUUAACAUGCCCCAAUCAUUUUUAAAAAACUCUUACUUUAUAACAAUAUCAAGUAGGAUCAUUUUGCGUUUCCUGUCCCAACUGUUGAAUCAUCCACUUUUUCCUGAGGAAACUUGAUUCAGUUUAGUGGAAAAUGCAAUUAGAAUCCUAAACCUAGGCACUCAAUGUGUUCCUUGCCACCAGGAUUUCGUUUGCUUGUAGGUCUUUUCAAAAGACAGAGUUAAGUAGUAUAUGUGAACUUGUCUGUGUGUGUGUGUGUGUCUGCAUGUGUGUGUAUACAAUCCAUUAUACAUGUAAGUUUUCUUAGAUAUGUAUGUAUAAUAUACUAAAGAUCUAAUUUUCUAUUUAUGAAGGUACAAGAAAUCAUGAGUUAUUACUGACCUUUCCAGAAAAUUCUCCCCCCCAUAUUUCCAUAGUUGCAUUAGAGUUAUACAAAUGAUGGACUUUAUUGUUGCAUAUAUGUACAUGCACACGAUAUGACAAUAUAUUUUAUCCAACAUUAUCCCUAAAAUUCUUGGUAAUUUUUUUAAUAUAUAGAAUAUGAAAACUAUUAACAUGCUUCUGAGUAAUAUUACUAUGUUUAGUUUUUCACUUCUGUGGCAAAAUAUCUAUGAAAAACAACUUAGAGGAGGAAAGAUUUAUUGUGGCUCACAGUUUCAGAAGGUUCAGUUCAUGCUCAGCUGGCUCCAUUGUUUCUGGGAUUGUGGUGAGGCAGUACAUCAUGGUGGAAGUCAGUGGCAGAGCAAACCUGCUCAUCUCAUGGUGACCAGGAAGCAGAGAGUAAGAGAAGAAAGAAGGGGACAGUGAUAAGAUCUAGUCCUCAUGUGUGCCCCCAAGAACUGCACCCCACAUCCUACAGUUUCCACCACCUCCCAAUAAUGUCACCAAAUUAUUAAUCUGUCAGUGGAUUAACUUGCUGACAUGUUCAGCGCCCUCAUGAUCCAGUCACUUCCCAAGAGCCCUACCUCUGACCAUUGCUUCAUUGUAGAUCAAGCUUUCAACAUGUGAAUCUAGAGUCACUUGAUAUCCAGACCAUAACAACUACAAAAAAGACUCUACCCACAGGAGUGUCAUGUUGCUCCAUGUCCCUUUCAUUCCCCCCAAUUUUAUUAAUUUAUUGUUUAACUUUUCCUCCUUUUUGUCAACAUAAGAAGAUAUAUUUGCCUUUUAAAAUUUCUCAUUUCCCAUAUGAAUGCUGUGUCUCUUUUUUCACUUUCUAUAUCCCCAAAAUAAUUUUGUAUCAAUUUAUUGACAAUUUUCUCAUUCAUAUUUCCAAUUGCAUAGUACUCCAUUCUGUGAAUAAAAAUUGUACUUUAUUAAAACAAUAUCCAUUAUCUAGACAUUUAAGUAGCUCCUAGUAUUUUAAAAUUAUAAACGUUUUGCAAUGUAAAAUUUUAAAUUACUUUCUAAUGUUUUGCAAGAUUGAGUUACCUAGUGCAUGUGUGUUUUAAUAUACUUAGAGAUGCACAUUUAACUUAAAUUCAAGAAAUGGGGUUGCUAGGUACAAAUGACACAUGAUUACAGAGUUUCAUUAGUACUCAAUUCCCCUCUAUGGAGGCUGAGGCAGUAAGAUGGCAAAUUCAAGACCAGCCUCGGUAACAGUGAGACCCUAUGUCUAAAAAAAUAAAAAGGGGAUGUAGCUCAGUGUUAAAGAACCCUGGGCUCAAUUCCCAGUACAAAACUUUAAAAGGAAGAAGAAAAGAAAAGGAAAAGUGUCUUGAAGUUUAAGAUUCAUUAGUUUCACAGUAAUGUAUACUAUACUUCCAAAAUACAAAUUUACCUUCCAAUUGAGGUAUGUUCCCUGUGAUUUUUAACACUCAGUUCUUUUAUUAAAGUUGCAGAUCGUACAAUUAAUAGCAUUUUAGAAUUAAAACUUGCUUUCUCUCUUUAAAGAGCUUUCUAAAGCUUUAAUCUCAUUACUCCAACCCCACCUCCAUCUAAUGUUCAGAGUAGCCUUCCCAAAUCAGAGCUUCUAUGUCAUGUUCCAUUCAAAAACUUUCUAUGCCAUCCCACUAUCUUUGGACCUGAGGAUGAAUCACAUAAUCUGGCAUUCAAAGCCAUUAUUGAAAACUGGAAGGAAGAUUAAAAGAAAGUCUCUUCCAUAGGAGUUGUAUCACUUUGUACUUCUACCAGUAGUACAAAAGAGUGCUUCUUUCCUUACAGCUUCAUUGACAGACUGAUGACUGUCAAAAUCUUCAUCAAUAGAGCUGUUGACAUUUUUGUCGGUCUGAUAUUUGAGAUAUGUUUUUCUAUUUUAAUAUUUUCAUAUACUAUUGAACAUUUUUUAUCUAUUUUUAUAAAUUACCUAUUCAUGUCUUUUACCCAUUUAUUUGUGUCUAUAUGUCUAUUACCCUUUAUUUGUGUUAUAUUUUGGAAACAUUUUUCUGCUAAAUUUUCAUUUAUAUUCCAAAUAUGCUAAUGGCAUUUCUUGUCAUGAAAGAUCAUUUACAAAAAUUCUAUGGACUCGGGAUACAGCUUUGUGGUAUAGCAAAAAGGCCUGUGUUUGAUCCUCAGUUGCAAAAGAAAUGAAAAAAAAUGUACAGUUCAAAUUUAUCAAUUUUUGAAAUUAUAUUGGAAUUUAAGUUAUAACUCCAAGUCUUUUUCUUUUUUAAUUAUGCAUUAAAAUUAUACAUAAUAGUGGGAUUCAUUAGUCUAUAUUCAUACAUGCACAUAAUUUGAUCAAUUUUAUUCCCCAGUACCUUCCUUUUCCUUCCUUUCUUCCCUCCUUCUGAGCCACUUGCUAAAUUCCACUGAUCUCUCUUCUAUUAUUGUUAUUUUUAUCCCUAAUUACUGAUAUGUGUGUGUGUGUGUGUGUGUGUGUGUGUAUGACUCAUUGUGGCAGGCAUAGGCAUACAUGGACAUAGCAUAAUAUGGUAGAAUUUGUUCCCUAGUACUUCCCCAUGACCCCUGUAUCCCCCACUCAAUCCCCUUUCUCAGCUCCAUUGGUCUUCCUUCUAUUUUUGUGAUUCCCCCCUUAAAAUUCUUCUCUGUCUUUUCUCUCUUGCAUAUAUGAGAAGAGAAAAAACCUCCUUGUCCCUUACUUUCUAAGUCUGGCUUCUUUCUUUCAUCUAGCUUGAUGUUCUCCAGCUCCAUUUGUUUAUCAGCAGAUGACAUAAUUUCAUUCUUUUUAUGGUUGAGUAAAACUCCAUGUAUAUACACACUACAUUUUCAUUAUCCAUUUGUCUAGGAUAGGCAUCUAGGCUGGUUUCAUAACUUGGCUAUUGUAAAUUGUGGUGCUAUAAAUGUUGGUAUGCCUGUAUCACUAUGGUAUGCUGAUUUUAGUUCUUUUGGAUAAAUACCUAAGAGUGGAACAGCUGGAUCAUAUGAUAAUUCUAUUCCUAGUCUUUUGAGGAAUCUCCAUUAUGCUACAAAGCCUUUUUCUACACUAAAAUUAUAAAUGAUUUUAUACCCCAUUUUGUCCAGUAUCUGUGUAAUUUUUCAAAAAAUUUAGAUCUUAAUUCAUUUGGAGCUUAUUAUUUUUCAUGUUAUGAAGAGUGAAUCUAAAUUUGUUUUUCAAAUGAUUUUCUUGUUGUCCCAAUGACAAUAAUUACAAAGUCUAACAUUACUCUCUUUGAUCUGAGAUACCAUCCUUAUCUAUUAGACUUCAGUGUCAUUGGUUUACUUUCCUAUUCUCUUCCAUUGGUCUUUCUAUUCAUAUACCAACCUCACAUGUUUUAAUUAUAAAGACUUUGUAAUAUGAUUAAAUAUCUUUUAAAGCUAGAACCUCCUCAUAACUCUACCUUUUAGUGUUUUACUAUCUUGCUUAUUUUUGCAUAUGAAUGUUAGUAGUUUUAUCAAAAACAUCAUUGGCAUUUUUCUGGAAUUGCAAUAAUUUGUCAUUAUUUAAUAAUAUAUUAAUUAAUUGAUAUAUAAUGACUACAUUAAAAAUUAAUUUAGAAGAAAUAUUGAUGAUACUGAGAAGUUCUUACCAAGAAAACAGUAUGUCUUUACAUUUAUAAAGUCUACAUGUAUGUCUUUUACAAAUGCUUUUUAGUUUUCUUCAGAUAGUUUUGAGCAUUUCUUUUUAACUUUAUUUCUAAGUGAUGUUUUCUCUUGCUUUUGUAAGUGGAAUUUUCUUUUCCUUUAUAUUUUGUAGUGGCUAUUAUUGGUAUAUAUCAAAUUUUAUCUCAUUGCUUCAGAUGUAGAACAUCUAUAAAACAAACAGAGUACUAAAGAGUAUAUAAUAUGUAAUAUAAUUAUAUAAUGUAUAAUUAUAUAAUAAUAUACAUAAUAAUAAUUAAUGUAAUAACAUAUAUAAGUUCCAGAUUAUAAUUUACAACUUAUUUUAAUGCACUUGUGUCAAUUUUCUUGAAAUAUUCACAAAAUUGAAAACUUUGGAUCUAAUGGAUUUUGAUAUUUGAAUAUUAAUUUUAUAGUCUAUUGAUUUGAAAUUCUAUUGUUUGAAUCAGUAGGGCUUACCAUGAUAUCAUCUAUAUAUAAAGAUUGCUUUAUUUCUUCUUGUGUUUCUGUUUUAUCUGGUCUAAAUGCAUAGACUUAUAUCUGUAGUAUGAUAAGUAUAGAAUAGAUAGUAGAUAUUCUUGUCUUAUUUCUGAAAUUACUUGGAAUUCCUGCAAUGUUUCCUCAUUAGACAUAAUGCAGUUUUAGGAUUGUAAGAUCUAUAUCUAUAUCCAUAUAUUACAUAUUUAAUUGAACAGUAAUAGAUUCUUUUCAAUAGAUUUUAAUUGAUUAUAAAUUUGAAUUUAUCCAAGGGAUUUUUGUGUGUGUGUGGGGGGGUGUACAUGGUAAUAGACAUUGAACCCAGGGCCUUGAGCAUACUAAAACAAGAUCUCUCCCAAGGAGCUAUAUCUCCAGCCCUGUGAUUUUAUUUUGAGACAGGAUAUCCCUUAGUUGUUGAGGCUGGUCUAGAAUUUCCUCCUACCUCAACCACCCAAGUAGCUGGGAUUACAGGUGUGCACCACUUCACCUGGUUUAUCCAAGGUUUUCUUCCCUUUAGACUUAGUUUUAAUUUAUGAAGAAAACAUUUUGUCCAUUUUCUACUUUUUUUUCCACUUGAGUUUUACAAGUUCUUGAUCCAACUACUCCUAUUGUUUCAUCACAACCCACUAUUGCCUGACAAUCUUUUACCUGAGUGCUUGUACUUUUACUUUUCAGUUUUCCUUCAGAAUAGUGAUUAUUUAAUUAUUUUUUCUAAGAAGUACUUUCAUCUGAUUAAUGACAACACUAUCUGGUGUUUUUUGUUUGUUUGUUUGUUUGUUUUUAAACUAGGAAUGUUCUAUUGCUCUUUUCCCAUUUUUAAAACACAGAAUUGUUGUGUACAUGUUGUUUUAUUUUGUUUCUUAUACUUAACCAACUUUUUCUGGGCCAACUUUUCACAAAAGACUUAUGUUGUGGAACAAGGGAAAACCAAGGUAACCUGCCCUUCAAGAAGUAGAGAGACAUAGCGUCACAGAGCUCUCUCUCUCCUUGAAUACAACCUGGCUCAGUGGAGAUUCUACUGCUAUAUCUAAACUUCUGAAGGUUCUGUUUUGCCCUUGUCCCCAAUGAACAGAACCUGCUUUCAAAACAAGGAAAGCCUCCUUAAAUUUAGAACAUGUGUUUUUGAUGAUUUUAUGUUCUACUAUCACUGAGUAACUUCCAGGCCCCCUCUCUGCUUCCCACUGUGUCCCUGAUCCUUGCUCAUUUCCAAAGGAAGAAUGGUACUACUCACAUUUAGAAUGGGAGCUCUCUCUGCCUUAUGUUCAGUUGCUGUGGCUUUUGAGGUCUGUUGCAUCAGUUUUCCACAACUCUUCUCUCCCUUCCCCUUGACUCUGACACACUUGAUUAAGAUUUUCCUAAAGACUUUGCUACCAAUAUUGCUGUGGAUCAAGAUUUGCACAAAAUCUCUACUUUGGAGGUGUUUUCUCUGCCUGCUGCCUUUGUUUUAAAUUUAAUGAACUCUCUUCUUUAUUCUCCUUAUAUCCAUAUGUCUUCCUGGAUAAGUGAAAUGAUUCUUAACUGUAAGAAAAUUAUUCGUAAGCUGUAAGAAAAUUCUUACUGGAAUUUGAAGCCUAUUUUACAAGCUUUUCUCUGUUUUACUUGUUACAUGACUCUGGACUAGUUAUUUAAACUCACUUUAAUACAGUUUACUUAUUUCCAAAAUAGAUAAACUAAUAUCUUGUAACAUUGAUAGAGAAACAAUUUGAGAUACUAAUCUUGAUAUAAUAUCUGGUAUAUGGUAGAUAUUUGAUAUGGACUGAAUUCUGUCUUUCCCAGAUUCAUAUAUUGAAGCCCUCCCUCCUGAUGUGACUGUAUUUGGAGAUAAAUCGUUUAAGAAGUUGGUCAGAUCAAACAGAGCGGCAAUCUGAUAGAACUGGGUUCCUUGAAGAAGAAACAUCUCUCUCUCUCUCUCUCCCCUCUUUCCUCUGCCCCCUCCAUGAUUGAGGAAAGGCUGUGAGGACACAUUAAGAAGAUAGCUAUCUAGAUAUAAGCCAGGGAGAGAGGCCUCAUAAGAAAUCAAGAAAUCAACUCUGACACCUUGAUCUUGGCUUUCCUCCAAGAACUGUGAGAAAAAUAAAUAUUUGUUGUUUUACCACCCUGUCCAGUGUAUCUUGUUAUGGAAACCCAUGAAAAUUAGUACAUUGCUCAUUAUAUUUUAACUGAUCAUAACAAUAACUGGUGGUGGUGGUGAUGAUGAUGAUGAUGAUGAUGAUGAUGAUCCUAGAAGUCCAGGUCUAUGGAUACUUACUAAUAGGGAAUUGUAAAAUCAGGUUUGAAUUGGCACAGUUUUUAGCAAGAAAAUUAUAUUUUUUUCACUUGGCUCUUUUCCCAUUGAUUU